CCCGGUAAACGGCGGCCGUAACUAUAACGGUCCUAAGGUAGCGAAAUUCCUUGUCAGGUAAGUUCUGACCCGCACGAAUGGCGUAAUGAUUUGGGCACUGUCUCAACAGCCCGCCCGGCGAAAUUGUAGUACUGGUGAAGAUGCCAGUUACCCGCAACUAGACGGAAAGACCCCAUGGAGCUUUACUGUAGCCUAAUACUGAAGAUCGGUAAUGCAUGUACAGGAUAGGUGGGAGCCAGCGAAACCCGGGCGUCAGCUCGGAUGGAGGCAACCUUGGAAUACCACCCUUGUAUUGCUGGUUUUCUAACCUGCGGCCAUGAAUCUGGUCGGGGGACACUGUUAGGUGGGCAGUUUGACUGGGGCGGUCGCCUCCAAAAGCGUAACGGAGGCGCUCAAAGGUUGGCUCAGCACGGACGGAAAUCGUGCAUAGAGUGCAAACGCAUAAGCCAACUUGACUGCGAGACCGACGGGUCGAGCAGGUACGAAAGUAGGAGUUAGUGAUCCGGUGGUAUGUGAGUGGAAAUGCCAUCGCUCAACGGAUAAAAGCUACCCUGGGGAUAACAGGCUGAUCUCCCCCAAGCGUCCACAGCGACGGGGAGGUUUGGCACCUCGAUGUCGGCUCGUCACAUCCUGGGGCUGUAUUCGGUCCCAAGGGUUCGGCUGUUCGCCGAUUAAAGUGGCACGCGAGCUGGGUUCAGAACGUCGUGAGACAGUUCGGUCCCUAUCUGUUGCGGGCGUAAGAGAUUUGAAGGGAGCUGUCCUUAGUACGAGAGGACCGGGAUGGACAGACCUCUGGUGCACCAGUUGUCGUGCCAACGGCACAGCUGGGUAGCUACGUCUGGACGAGAUAAACGCUGAAAGCAUCUAAGUGUGAAACUCCCCCUAAGAUAAGAUCUCCCAUCCAUUAGGAGUAAGGGACGACAGAGACUAUGUCGUUGAUAGGUCGGAAGUGUAAGUGCAGUAAUGCAUUGAGCUGACCGAUACUAAUAACCCGAGGGCUUGACCU
Molecule: ribosomal RNA, 1006 nt
Filed under: human gut metagenome
Description: bacterial LSU rRNA
Rfam family: Bacterial large subunit ribosomal RNA
Source: RNAcentral